AUUGAACAAAAGCAGUCAAAAUCAACGUACGCAGAUCGUGUCUAGUGAAUGAACAGAAUUUGUUUUCAACAACGCACGUCUCUUGCGAGCUUCUUUUUAGUGUAUUUGGAAUAAUUGAGUGGGAAAAACGAAAUGACAUUCGAAAGCAACGAACAACAGAGCGAACAAGAUGACAAACACAACUACCGAUAUCGACGGUUUUUGUCACAGUUUAUCGCAGCAUCGGUCAAAAAUUUACUUCUUUUUGAUCUUGGCAUGUGUAUAGCGUUUCCAACUGUAAUAAUUCCAGCUUUAACGGGCAUCACAAAUGAGUUCAACCGAAAUGAAUAUCUUUCACUCACACCGUCUCAAGUUUCGUGGCUGGGGAGCAUUCCUUAUAUCCUUAAGCCACUGGGAAGUGUUAUAUCAGCGAUAAUCACGGAUCCCUUAGG
This is a long non-coding RNA of Sitodiplosis mosellana (orange wheat blossom midge), 431 nucleotides long. RefSeq lists it as uncharacterized. Lineage: Eukaryota; Metazoa; Arthropoda; Insecta; Diptera; Cecidomyiidae. The record is from RefSeq and is a predicted model, not a curated record. The transcript is spliced from 3 exons.